Olea europaea var. sylvestris is the source of this 1674-nucleotide long non-coding RNA. RefSeq lists it as uncharacterized. The record is from RefSeq and is a predicted model, not a curated record. The transcript is spliced from 3 exons. Lineage: Eukaryota; Viridiplantae; Streptophyta; Magnoliopsida; Lamiales; Oleaceae.
UCACUUACGAGACUCAACAUCCCGAACCUAUCUUCUAUGUCUCUCUCACACCCACAGUCCCACGGCGCGGCCUCUCUCAUUUUCUCACCAAAUCGCCAAUAUUGCCCAACGUCGGUAGCCGAUUUUCCAUGGUCAAGGGUCAUCGUUUCAAUUGGAUAAUCUCGCGGUCUUGUAUCUUCAUAGGUUAUGUGGCGACUGAAGACCCAGAAGAAUUUUUAGAAAAAGAAAGAAAUAAUUUCAGAGGAAGAGAGAAAUUUAGAGAAAGAAUGAUUUAGAUUUGAAUUGUGGCGACCGAAGACCCAGAAGAACAGGCGCGCAAUAGUCGUCUCUAGUAUUUCUUUCAUCGUUUUGGGCAAGUCUUGGAGGGGUUUUUGGCAGUCAGAAUAACGGUCAAGAAGAAAAAGAAGAAGACUUAGAAAUGGCUUCAAAAGCUGUUGUUCAAGAACAACCCAGUGGCAACAAUAGUAAAUGAAAAUAAUCCAAUUUUAUAACACCGAUCAUAGUUUGGACUGAUUUUUGAAGGGAUUAUUGAUCAAUUUUGGGAUGCACUCUUUUUCUUUCUUUAAGUUGAUCAAUUACUACUGCAGACCAAUCAGACGAAAAGAUUAAUAUCAAUUAAGUUAGGUUAUUUAAGUAUUAUAUGAUAAGGAUAGCAUUGCAAGAUUAACUGACCCUUCUUAGUUGAUAUUGGAUAAGUGGUGUCAUUCUAUUAUGUGGUGGGAGUUUGAGUAAAGUGUUUCAUUCUUAGAGUUGCAGCAGGCAUAUUGGGACGGUUGAUUAAUGAGUAUUUUAGUGUUUUUAGUGUUUCAUCAAUCUGCUCAAGUUGGGAUGAGUAUUCUAUUGUAACUUUUUUUUCUGGGAACAUUAUCUCUAUCCUCUUUUUGAUGGAAGAAUGCAUCUCUUUAGAAGUUCAUGCUGUAAAUGGAAGUCAUUGUUGAAUAAUACUUCGCUCAUCUCUCUUCUCACUUCAUGUCUGUGAAAUAGGUUGAGUAAUACACUUAAAUUUGGAGGCGGCUAAAUUAUCGGACAUGGGAUGGAUGAUUGUUGUGUUGUGGUUGAGGCUGAAAAUCUGAUUGUUAUCGAUUGGUUUUUCCACAUUUGUUGUUAUACAUGGUGUUAACUAGAAGGAGAGUUGAAACAGGGUGAAGUAGGGGAAGUGUGGUAAGAGUUGAGAAGGGGAGGAAAUGGCUGAGAUUGCUACUGUCUGAAGUAGGGAGGUCAAAGUCACUAGAAGGAGUUUCUACUGUGCAGCAGCGGUAGUGCCAACCUGGGGAAGCAUUGGCUGAAUGGAGGUCUUCUUAGCACUAGUCAAGUGUAAUCUCUGCACGAUAUUAGUCACAUGUUAUCUCUGCAUUUUUGUCUUACACUACCUUGAGGUGUUCAUCACAUGAGAAAUCAAGAUGCUGGAUUGAGAAGGAAAAUCUGCAGACAGAUGCAGGGAUUGAUACAGAAAAACUAUUAACAAGCCUGAAGUGAUUGAAAUUAUAUUGCUCGUAUUUAUUGGAAGUUAGGGUGAUUCUUUAACUCUUGUUAUUUAUUGACCUUUUUUACUUAUGUAAGAAAGAAAAACAUGCCUAUAUUUUUCUUUGCUUUUAGAAUUUUGGAUCUGGAUUUUGUACAGAUAUUGUUACAUUUUCAAGCUCAGUUAAGAAUUAUUAUUGGAGUUAUUUGAGA